Molecule: microRNA precursor, 95 nt
Filed under: Columba livia (rock pigeon)
Lineage: Eukaryota; Metazoa; Chordata; Aves; Columbiformes; Columbidae
Description: microRNA cli-mir-182 precursor
Gene: cli-mir-182
Rfam family: mir-182 microRNA precursor family (bases 10-86)
Source: miRBase by way of RNAcentral
CGGCCCCGGGGCUGCUUUUGGCAAUGGUAGAACUCACACUGGUGCGGUAGCAGGAUCCGGUGGUUCUAGACUUGCCAACUACAGCCCCGGGGGAG